This 175-nucleotide antisense RNA is filed under the name Escherichia coli. RNAcentral describes it as "sok". It matches the Rfam family "sok antitoxin (CssrC)". From Rfam's summary of the family: Also identified in Shigella as CssrC. Lineage: Bacteria; Pseudomonadati; Pseudomonadota; Gammaproteobacteria; Enterobacterales; Enterobacteriaceae. The record is from RNAcentral.
CGGCGCUUGAGGCUUUUUGCCUCAUGACGUGAAGGUGGUUUGUUACCGUGUUGUGUGGCAGAAAGCAGAAAGCCCCGUAGUUAAUUUUCAUUAACCCAUGUACUGCACCCAUUUUGUUGGACGAUGAAAUGGAAUAGCCCCUAAUAUGUCAAAGCCAAAAUACCCUUUUGAAAAG